GGGCGCGUGGCGGAACUGGUAGACGCGCAUGGUUGAGGGCCAUGUGGGCCUAGCCCGUGGAGGUUCGAUUCCUCUCGCGCCCA
This 83-nucleotide transfer RNA is filed under the name Candidatus Handelsmanbacteria bacterium RIFCSPLOWO2_12_FULL_64_10. RNAcentral's name for it is "tRNA-Leu". It matches the Rfam family "tRNA". Rfam says of the family: Transfer RNA (tRNA) molecules are approximately 80 nucleotides in length. Their secondary structure includes four short double-helical elements and three loops (D, anti-codon, and T loops). Further hydrogen bonds mediate the characteristic L-shaped molecular structure. tRNAs have two regions of fundamental functional importance: the anti-codon, which is responsible for specific mRNA codon recognition, and the 3' end, to which the tRNAs corresponding amino acid is attached (by aminoacyl-tRNA synthetases). tRNAs cope with the degeneracy of the genetic code in two manners: having more than one tRNA (with a specific anti-codon) for a particular amino acid; and 'wobble' base-pairing, i.e. permitting non-standard base-pairing at the 3rd anti-codon position. Lineage: Bacteria; Candidatus Handelsmaniibacteriota. The record is from RNAcentral.